CCAUCAGGAAGCAGAGGGACCCCUGGGCUCCUGCUAAUUCUGUCCGGUGGAAAGCCAGAGAUCAAGGGGGCCUGGUGAUGCAGACUAUAGAUGCCAAUCUCCAGGGAUGCAGAGCAGGGCAAAGGACAGGAGCGUGAGGUUAGCUGGGCAACACCAGACACGGGUGCUAUUUUUAGAAGAAGCCCACACAGGUGCCAGGCAGCCCGCAUACGACCCAAGCAGGCGGUCAUGAUGAGGCCAGAAGAACAACACCAGGCAGGUGACAGGAGUUAGAAGAACAGGGCCCACAGUUCCCCAGCCUGAAGGUCAAGAGAAACACCACCAGAGAAGAAAGCACAGGCCAUAUUAGAUGAGAAUUUCAACUGCCUGGAAAUAGAUGACUUUGCUUCUUUUUUUUAAAACCUGGCUUCAUUAAGAUGAUGGUAUCCAAUGUACCCAGGUGCCUUUGUUUUUUGCCCCUAUGGAGAAAAUGAGACCAGGGAGUAAAGAUGUUUGAGGCAGUCCCAAGAGUCUCCAACUGAGUACCUGUGACAGAGAAUGAACUGUUUAUCUUUGUCAAUAUAGCGAAUAUGGAAAACUGUAAUGCAACAGUGCAGACCAUUUUAUCAUGGCCACCCCAUCUCUAAAGAAUAAUAGCUAAUUGGAAUCCUAGUGCAGUAAUGGCCAUAAAAGCAAGGCUCUUAGCUGAGAUUGAGGGAAAGAAGCACUUUAGCAAUUGCACUUCCUUUACUUGUCAAAGGAAGGGAUCUCUGCCCAAAGACUCAGUCCUUGCACCUGUUGACUUCCACCUUCUUUUCAGCAAAGAGGGAACGUCCACUGGCUCAUUUACUUCUGCUGCAGAAUGACCUGCCAUCCAGCAAGGCAUCCGACGAUGCCAGCUCCAGCUGAGUCAGAAGGCCAUUUCUCAGAUGGCAAGGUCUCCAUGCUGCGCCCUUCCUCACUGACGUUUAUCUCCUUCAUGCAACUGCGUGUACCUGAGUGCUCCUCGACGACUGAGCUGUGACUCUUCCACUGGGUUCUCUGAUUGCAGUCAACCCAGUGACCCCGCUAAAGGUUCAGGGAUCACCUAGAGUGAGUGACUCCGAAGGACAGUGCCAGGCAGUGAUGCCUUGGUUGCAGGACUGGCAGGCUUUCUAGGAUGGAGUAAAAGGAAGCCCUGACUUCUAGCGUUGGCUAAUUUUUGUGGUGUAAAUACUGUCAUGACUGAUUUCACGUCCCCAGUAUGCCUUCACCGAGCAAGAAAUCGGGAAGAGACUGACAGUUGGAAUAGGUGUAUGGCAUUUCCACCACAUACACACAAUAGAUGAAAACAAUCUCAAGACCAUUGACAUAG
This 1333-nucleotide long non-coding RNA is filed under the name Vulpes vulpes (red fox). RNAcentral's name for it is "lncRNA (ENSVVUG00000019602.1)". Lineage: Eukaryota; Metazoa; Chordata; Mammalia; Carnivora; Canidae. The record is from RNAcentral.